RNAcentral lists this ribosomal RNA (741 nucleotides) under uncultured bacterium. RNAcentral describes it as "bacterial SSU rRNA". It matches the Rfam family "Bacterial small subunit ribosomal RNA", at positions 8 to 796 of the family's 1533-position model. The record is from RNAcentral.
AGAGUUUGAUCAUGGCUCAGACGAACGCUGGCGGCAGGCUUAACACAUGCAAGUCGAACGCACCGCAAGGUGAGUGGCAGACGGGUGAGUAACGCGUGGGAACGUGCCCUUCAGUUCGGGAUAACCCAGGGAAACUUGGGCUAAUACCGGAUACGUGCGAGAGCAGAAAGAUUUUAUCGCUGAAGGAUCGGCCCGCGUCUGAUUAGCUAGUUGGUGGGGUAAUGGCCCACCAAGGCGACGAUCAGUAGCUGGUCUGAGAGGAUGAUCAGCCACAUUGGGACUGAGACACGGCCCAAACUCCUACGGGAGGCAGCAGUGGGGAAUAUUGGACAAUGGGCGCAAGCCUGAUCCAGCCAUGCCGCGUGAGUGAUGAAGGCCUUAGGGUUGUAAAGCUCUUUCGUCCGGGACGAUAAUGACGGUACCGGAAGAAGAAGCCCCGGCUAACUUCGUGCCAGCAGCCGCGGUAAUACGAAGGGGGCUAGCGUUGUUCGGAAUCACUGGGCGUAAAGGGCGCGUAGGCGGCCUGAUAAGUCGGGGGGUGAAAGCCUGUGGCUCAACCACAGAAUUGCCUUCGAUACUGUCGGGCUUGAGACCGGAAGAGGUAAGUGGAACUGCGAGUGUAGAGGUGAAAUUCGUAGAUAUUCGCAAGAACACCAGUGGCGAAGGCGGCUUACUGGUCCGGUUCUGACGCUGAGGCGCGAAAGCGUGGGGAGCAAACAGGAUUAGAUACCCUAGUAGUCC